Molecule: ribosomal RNA, 253 nt
Filed under: uncultured bacterium
Lineage: Bacteria
Description: partial 16S ribosomal RNA
Rfam family: Bacterial small subunit ribosomal RNA
Source: RNAcentral
UACGGGGGGGGCAAGCGUUGUUCGGAAUUACUGGGCGUAAAGGGCGCGUAGGUGGCCAACUAAGUCAGACGUGAAAUCCCCCGGCUCAACUGGGGAACUGCACAGGAAACUAGCGGGCUUGAGUUCGGGAGAGGGAAGCGGAACUCCGGGUGUAGCGGUGAAAUGCGUAGAUAUCCGGAGGAACACCGGUGGCGAAGGCGGCUUCCUGGACCGACACUGACGCUGAGGCGCGAAAGCUAGGGGAGCAAACGGG